RNAcentral lists this ribosomal RNA (504 nucleotides) under uncultured bacterium. RNAcentral's name for it is "bacterial SSU rRNA". It matches the Rfam family "Bacterial small subunit ribosomal RNA", at positions 372 to 882 of the family's 1533-position model. The record is from RNAcentral.
UGGGCGCAAGCCUGACCGAGCGACGCCGCGUGUGCGAUGAAGGCCUUCGGGUUGUAAAGCACUGUCGAGGGGGAGGAACGCCCGCAAGGGUCUGACCUAUCCCUGGAGGAAGCACGGGCUAAGUUCGUGCCAGCAGCCGCGGUAAGACGAACCGUGCAAACGUUGUUCGGAUUCACUGGGCUUAAAGGGCGCGUAGGCGGGCGGUCAAGUCGGGGGUGAAAUCUUUCAGCUUAACUGGAAAAGUGCCUCCGAUACUGAUUGUCUUGAGGGAGGUAGGGGCAUGUGGAACUUCCGGUGGAGCGGUGAAAUGCGUAGAUAUCGGAAGGAACGCCGGUGGCGAAAGCGACGUGCUGGACCUCUUCUGACGCUGAGGCGCGAAAGCCAGGGGAGCGAACGGGAUUAGAUACCCCGGUAGUCCUGGCCCUAAACGAUGGGUACUAGAUUGUGGACUUAACAUGGGUUCACAGUCGAAGCCAAAGUGUUAAGUACCCCGCCUGGGGAGUA